This 465-nucleotide ribosomal RNA is filed under the name uncultured bacterium. RNAcentral's name for it is "partial 16S ribosomal RNA". It matches the Rfam family "Bacterial small subunit ribosomal RNA", at positions 28 to 507 of the family's 1533-position model. The record is from RNAcentral.
GACGAACGCUGGCGGCGUGCUUAACACAUGCAAGUCGAACGGAAAGGCCCCUUUGGGGGUCCUCGAGUGGCGAACGGGUGAGUAACACGUGAGUAACCUGCCCUUGACUUCGGGAUAACUUCAGGAAACUGGGGCUAAUACCGGAUAGGAAUCCUUGCUGCAUGGUGGGGGUUGGAAAGCUUCGGCGGUUUUGGAUGGACUCGCGGCUUAUCAGCUUGUUGGUGGGGUAGUGGCUUACCAAGGCUUUGACGGGUAGCCGGCCUGGGGGGGCGACCGGCCACACUGGGACUGAGAGACGGCACAGACUCCUACGGGAGGCAGCAGUGGGGAAGAUUGCACAAGGGGCGGAAGCCUGAUGCAGCAACGCCGCGUGCGGGAUGACGGCCUUAGGGUUGUAAACCGCUUUCAGCAGGGGCGAAGCUUGUGGUGACGGUACCUGCAGAAGAAGCACCGGCUAACUACGUG